UACGUAGGGUGCGAGCGUUGUCCGGAAUUAUUGGGCGUAAAGGGCUCGUAGGCGGUUUGUCGCGUCGGGAGUGAAAUCCACUGGCUUAACUGGUGGCUUGCUUUCGAUACGGGCAGACUGGAGGUAUGCAGGGGAGAACGGAAUUCCUGGUGUAGCGGUGAAAUGCGCAGAUAUCAGGAGGAACACCGGUGGCGAAGGCGGCAUCCUGGACCAACACUGACGCUGAGUGAGCGAAAGCCAGGGGAGCAAACGGG
RNAcentral lists this ribosomal RNA (254 nucleotides) under uncultured bacterium. RNAcentral describes it as "partial 16S ribosomal RNA". It matches the Rfam family "Bacterial small subunit ribosomal RNA", at positions 524 to 776 of the family's 1533-position model. The record is from RNAcentral.